Molecule: ribosomal RNA, 592 nt
Filed under: Salmonella enterica subsp. enterica serovar Senftenberg
Lineage: Bacteria; Pseudomonadati; Pseudomonadota; Gammaproteobacteria; Enterobacterales; Enterobacteriaceae
Also listed under: 1 other name
Description: partial 23S ribosomal RNA
Rfam family: Bacterial large subunit ribosomal RNA
Source: RNAcentral
UGUUCUAACGUGGACCCGUAAUCCGGGUUGCGGACAGUGUCUGGUGGGUAGUUUGACUGGGGCGGUCUCCUCCUAAAGAGUAACGGAGGAGCACGAAGGUUGGCUAAUCCUGGUCGGACAUCAGGAGGUUAGUGCAAUGGCAUAAGCCAGCUUGACUGCGAGCGUGACGGCGCGAGCAGGUGCGAAAGCAGGUCAUAGUGAUCCGGUGGUUCUGAAUGGAAGGGCCAUCGCUCAACGGAUAAAAGGUACUCCGGGGAUAACAGGCUGAUACCGCCCAAGAGUUCAUAUCGACGGCGGUGUUUGGCACCUCGAUGUCGGCUCAUCACAUCCUGGGGCUGAAGUAGGUCCCAAGGGUAUGGCUGUUCGCCAUUUAAAGUGGUACGCGAGCUGGGUUUAGAACGUCGUGAGACAGUUCGGUCCCUAUCUGCCGUGGGCGCUGGAGAACUGAGGGGGGCUGCUCCUAGUACGAGAGGACCGGAGUGGACGCAUCACUGGUGUUCGGGUUGUCAUGCCAAUGGCACUGCCCGGUAGCUAAAUGCGGAAGAGAUAAGUGCUGAAAGCAUCUAAGCACGAAACUUGCCCCGAGAUGAGU